This is a long non-coding RNA of Stegostoma tigrinum, 1788 nucleotides long. RefSeq lists it as uncharacterized. NCBI's taxonomy places the organism in Eukaryota, Metazoa, Chordata, Chondrichthyes, Orectolobiformes, Stegostomatidae. The record is from RefSeq and is a predicted model, not a curated record. The transcript has 3 exons.
CUGACAGCUGUAGAGGGCAAAAGGGGGCAGCGGAGAAUUAGACGGAGUUUUAAACAGUAAUAAACAACUAAAGAACUGUGGAUGCUGGCGAACUGAAACACACCAAAACAGAAAUCGUCGGAGAAAGGCAGCAUGACCGGUAGUAGAGAUAAUAGGAACUGCAGAUGCUGGAGAGUCCGAGAUAACUAAGUGUAAACCUGGAUGUACACAGCAGGCCAAAUUGUGCUCCUAAGAUGCUACAGGAAGGAUGUACACCACAGGCCAAAUUGUGCUCCUAAGAUGCUGCUUGGCCUGCUGUGUUCAUUCAGCUUCACAGUUUGUUAUCUCUUUAUGUCCGGUAGUAUCUGUGUGAAGAAAGCGGAGACACCCUGAAACGUUAACUCUGCCCUCUCUGACCACAGAUGCCGCCGGACCGGCUGAGCUUCUCCUGCGAUUUCUGCUUUCGUACCACUCAGAUUUUUGAUGCAAAAACAGUUUUUAUUCGUUUAAACAAAAAACCUCCAUGCACACACAGUUACGAAAGCAGAGAUAACAAAGUGUGGAACUGAAUGAACACAGUAGGCCAAGCAGCAUCUUAGGAAAGCUGACGUUUCGGGCCUAGACUCGGCCUGCUGUGUUCAUCCAGCUCUACACCUUGUUAUCUUGGAUUCUCCAGCAUCUGCAGUUCCCAUUAUCUCGGUUACGAAAGCAGUUCGGUUUUGUAUCCGGGAAGAAUGAUGUUGUCAACUGUGUCAAAGACUGAAGACAGGUCAAGAAGGAUGAGGAGCAAUAAAGCUGCAGUCACAGGGCAUCUCAUUUAUGACUUUGGUGAAUUAUUCACUCGGUUAUGACAUACUGGAUGCCCAUGCCUGUAUAAGGGGUCCUGUCAAUGAGAUAUGAGAUGGCUUAUGUUGGCAGAGACAAACUGGGAGACAAUUGCUGAUGGCCAUGACCUCUGGAGGAGCAUUGAAAAGCUGAGGAGAAACAGAAAGCUCAGCUGACAGAGAAGAAGGCCCAGAGAAAACAGGCCCUGUACUUUCUCCACUACUUCAGCUCAAUACCUGCACCAAAUGCAGCAGUCUUCCACACUAGAGGAGGACAUCUGAGCCACACUAGGUGAUGCUUAACACAGAGAAAGCACAAGUUAUAGUCUCAUGAGAUGGAAGGUUGUGAAGAACAGAAUAAACUCCCUUAGUUAGUGCUAUGCACAAAGGAUGAUUUAGGAAAGCAUUUUGAAGUGACGAAAGUAAAUUGAAAAUUAAGCAAUGCAAUUUUCAAAAAAAACUUUUACAAACUGUUUAAUCUGCUGCUUUCAGAAGAGCAUAUUCUGAAGUAGGAAGGAAUUGAGUUCUUGGUUUAUUUCACCUUUUCUGAUUGAAAUGCAGUCUCAUCUGCUGGAAAAUGGGCAUUCGGUAAGAACAACAUUAGGCUUGGUCAUACUGUCCUCCAAGAUAAAGAAAUCUACAAACAAGUGCUGUUCUAGAUUUGUGCUUGAUGAAUAGUCACUGAAGAAGACAUUUUAACUCUUCUUGCUGAAUCUCGAUGGAGUGGUCAAGCAAUUAAAAAAGAAUAGUUGCACUUCCCACUCCAUCAACAUCUGAUCCUAAUGUUUGAACAGCAAAUGAGGCAGCUGACAGACACAGGCAGGAGUCUCUUUCAUAAAAGGCUGUUGAGGUCCAAUAAUGUCAAUGGAUCCCAAAUUACAUUUUAAAUUCAUCCUGAGUUGUGGCUAGCCCAUGGAGUGAUAUCUGUUCUGAAGCUAGUGAAGACCCCCAGAGGUGACUGAAAUACUUUCCUUAGUGGGGCCAG